AGCUCCAUUAGCGUAUAUUAAAGUUGUUGCAGUUAAAAAGCUCGUAGUUGGAUUUCGGUGUGGGCCCGUCGGUCGGCCGCAAGGCCUGUUACUGACUGGUCCGCUCUUCCUCUCAAAGACUGCACGUGCCCUUCGCUGGGUGUGUGUAUCGGAUUUGGGACGUUUACUUUGAAAAAAUUAGAGUGUUCAAAGCAAGUAUUAUUUCUUGAAUACAUUAGCAUGGAAUAAUAAGAUAGGACUUGGGUAAUAUUUUGUUGGUUUGCAUAUCCAGGUAAUGAUUAAUAGGAACAUAUUGGGGAUAUCUGUAUUUUUUAGUCAGAGGUGAAAUUCUUGGAUUUAAGAAAGACAAACUACAGCGAAAGCAUUUAUCAAGGAUGUUUUCAUUGAUCAAGAACGAAAG
RNAcentral lists this ribosomal RNA (400 nucleotides) under phytoplankton environmental sample. RNAcentral describes it as "partial small subunit ribosomal RNA". It matches the Rfam family "Eukaryotic small subunit ribosomal RNA", at positions 587 to 989 of the family's 1831-position model. The record is from RNAcentral.